Molecule: transfer RNA, 94 nt
Filed under: Frankineae bacterium MT45
Lineage: Bacteria; Bacillati; Actinomycetota; Actinomycetes; Frankiales
Description: tRNA_Pseudo_Pseudo
Rfam family: tRNA
About the family: Transfer RNA (tRNA) molecules are approximately 80 nucleotides in length. Their secondary structure includes four short double-helical elements and three loops (D, anti-codon, and T loops).
Source: RNAcentral
GCGUCAGUGGCCGAGUGGUACGGCGCCCGCCUUCAUUCGGCCCCUUGGGGCCCCGUCAAAGCGGGAGACGCGCGUUCGAUUCGCGCCUGAUGCA